Gasterosteus aculeatus aculeatus (three-spined stickleback) is the source of this 1059-nucleotide long non-coding RNA. The record is from Ensembl. Lineage: Eukaryota; Metazoa; Chordata; Actinopteri; Perciformes; Gasterosteidae.
GUGCAGCAGGCACAGCGGAGACAUGCUGAUCAAAGGGGUGGAGUCCUUGCAGGCCCAGUCACAUAAAAGUGACAGCGAUGUCAUGCUAAUGGCAUUAAGGCUUUGCAGGUAGAGGCUAACUCAGGACAAAGGGUUGUGUAAAUCUCCCGCUGAGGCCGGACUCUUGGGUCAAGGCCCGCUGUCCCAACACCAGCGAAACACCUGAACGGAUUCACUUUUGCCCUCCCAAAUGUUCACUGAUUUUAGAGGGUUCGUGGGUGGCAAGAGUUUACUUCCUAGAUUGUAGGACUACUUUCUCCAGUCAUCGGGAGCUUGGUCCGAUCACAUGUCAGUUCCCGCUCUACAAACACGGAUACAAAGCGCAUCUCCUGUGCCGGUAAAUCCCUGCAGCGCCUGAGACCUUUAAGCCUUUUAAUAGUGCACAGCCUCAUCCCUUAAGUAAUGCUAAAGCAUUGUUUGGCAACUGAACAGUGCAAGUUGGGGAAAUGUGGGUCAGACAGACUUUAAGACGUUGCAAAUGUGAUUCACUUCUAAAAGCGCCGGUUUGUGAGUAAGUGUGGAUGAAAACGUGAGGACGCCAGAAGAAGCACUCUGCGGCACAAUUCUUUUAGUAACAAAUUUUUUAUUACAACAUUUCACGUUUUUUUUCCAUUUCUAGUGAUGUUUUGUGGCAGGGUAACAUGGCUGCUGGAACGACUGAGGAUGCCGAUCUACCGUUGAAAGCACACAAAUGGAAUCAAUUGCAGGUAUAUUUUGCGUUUCCUCAUCAGAGACAAUUCAGACAGAUUGCAUCACAAGAGCCACCAUGAAUUGCUUCGACAAAAGGGCGUCAAAAUCAAACGGUAAAUGAGGUCCAUUUGAGCGGCUCCGGGAUCUGGGUGGAAUCCGUUGUAUUUUUAUCCUCGUGAUAUAUAUAAAAAAAAAAAAAAAAAAAAGACAAGUGUCCCUCGUCCACAGACUGUGCAGCUUGGUUAUUGUUGUCGUGUCAUACUUUCGGUUACAAAGUUAUACAUCUAGAAGAAGUGGCUGAAAACAAGGCAAUGCGGGGGAGGAGGGGUG